GAUGAACGCUGGCGGCGUGCCUAAUACAUGCAAGUCGAGCGAACAGAUGAGGAGCUUGCUCCUCUGACGUUAGCGGCGGACGGGUGAGUAACACGUGGAUAACCUACCUAUAAGACUGGGAUAACUUCGGGAAACCGGAGCUAAUACCGGAUAAUAUAUUGAACCGCAUGGUUCAAUAGUGAAAGACGGUUUUGCUGUCACUUAUAGAUGGAUCCGCGCCGCAUUAGCUAGUUGGUAAGUUAACGGCUUACCAAGGCAACGAUGCGUAGCCGACCUGAGAGGGUGAUCGGCCACACUGGAACUGAGACACGGUCCAGACUCCUACGGGAGGCAGCAGUAGGGAAUCUUCCGCAAUGGGCGAAAGCUUGACGGAGCAACGCCGCGUGAGUGAUGAAGGUCUUCGGAUCGUAAAACUCUGUUAUUAGGGAAGAACAAAUGUGUAAGUAACUAUGCACGUCUUGACGGUACCUAAUCAGAAAGCCACGGCUAACUACGUG
This 497-nucleotide ribosomal RNA is filed under the name uncultured bacterium. RNAcentral's name for it is "partial 16S ribosomal RNA". It matches the Rfam family "Bacterial small subunit ribosomal RNA", at positions 28 to 507 of the family's 1533-position model. The record is from RNAcentral.